This 119-nucleotide ribosomal RNA is filed under the name Salmo salar (Atlantic salmon). Lineage: Eukaryota; Metazoa; Chordata; Actinopteri; Salmoniformes; Salmonidae. The record is from RNAcentral.
GCUUACGGCCAUACCAGCCUGGGUACGCCCGAUCUCGUCUGAUCUCGGAAGCUAAGCAGGGUCGGGCCUGGUUAGUACUUGGAUGGGAGACCGCCUGGGAAUACCAGGUGCUGUAAUCA